This 594-nucleotide ribosomal RNA is filed under the name uncultured eukaryote. Its description in RNAcentral is "bacterial SSU rRNA". It matches the Rfam family "Eukaryotic small subunit ribosomal RNA", at positions 4 to 567 of the family's 1831-position model. The record is from RNAcentral.
CUGGUUGAUCCUGCCAGUUGUCAUAUGCUUGUUUCAAGGACUAAGCCAUGCAAAUGUAAGAGUACUCGUGUCUUGAUACGAGGGGUCUGUGUACSGCUCAUUAAACGGUUUAUAGUCUCCCCAACAAAGAGGGCAGUCAUGCCUUCCUAUGGGAUAUCUUUGCGAAAGGCAAAGCUAAUACCUGUAAGAAUAAUCGCUUGCUAUCAAACACCAAGGGGCAACCCGAAAGUGUGGCGGGCGAUGUGAUUGGCCGAAACAAAAAUAGACGCUCGAACAGAGCAGCUGUAAUUGUUGACGCAGGCCAAAGUCGCGAAAGCACAAUUUUGUGCGACGUUGGACGAAUUUACCACCUAUCAGGUAUUGAAGGUAGUGUAGUGGACUACCUUGCCUCUGACGGGUAACGGGGGAUUGGGGUUCGAUUCCGGAGAGGGUGCCUGAGAGACGGCAACCAUGACCAUGGUCAGCAGCAGGCGCGCAAAUUGCCCAAUGCCAACAAAUGGCGAGGCAGCGACGAAAAAUAGCAGUCCCCUAGGGGAUUUGCAAUGGACUGUACCCAAACAAACUGAUGAUUAUCUAUUGGAGGGCAAGUCUGGU